This 558-nucleotide ribosomal RNA is filed under the name uncultured bacterium. Its description in RNAcentral is "bacterial SSU rRNA". It matches the Rfam family "Bacterial small subunit ribosomal RNA", at positions 777 to 1334 of the family's 1533-position model. The record is from RNAcentral.
AAUAGAUACCCGGGUAGUCCACGCCGUAAACGAUGAGUGCUAAGUGUUAGGGGGUUUCCGCCCCUUAGUGCUGCAGCUAACGCAUUAAGCACUCCGCCUGGGGAGUACGGUCGCAAGACUGAAACUCAAAGGAAUUGACGGGGGCCCGCACAAGCGGUGGAGCAUGUGGUUUAAUUCGAAGCAACGCGAAGAACCUUACCAGGUCUUGACAUCCCAUUGACUACUAUGGAGACAUAGUUUUCCCUUCGGGGACAACGGUGACAGGUGGUGCAUGGUUGUCGUCAGCUCGUGUCGUGAGAUGUUGGGUUAAGUCCCGCAACGAGCGCAACCCUUGUUCUUAGUUGCCAUCAUUUAGUUGGGCACUCUAAGGAGACUGCCGGUGACAAACCGGAGGAAGGUGGGAUGACGUCAAAUCAUCAUGCCCCUUAUGACCUGGGCUACACGACGUGCUACAAUGGACGGUACAAACGGUUCGCCAACCCGGCGAGGGGGAGCUAACGUCCGAUAAAACCCGUUCUCAGUUCGGAUUGUAGCUGCAACUCGCUACAUGAACGACCG